GAUGAACGCUGGCGGCGUGCCUAAUACAUGCAAGUCGAGCGAACGGACGAGAAGCUUGCUUCUCUGAUGUUAGCGGCGGACGGGUGAGUAACACGUGGAUAACCUACCUAUAAGACUGGGAUAACUUCGGGAAACCGGAGCUAAUACCGGAUGAUAUUUUGAACCGCAUGGUUCAAAAGUGAAAGACGGUCUUGCUGUCACUUAUAGAUGGAUCCGCGCUGCAUUAGCUAGUUGGUAAGGUAACGGCUUACCAAGGCAACGAUGCAUAGCCGACCUGAGAGGGUGAUCGGCCACACUGAACCUAGAACCGGUACCAACCCCCGGCGGGGGGAAGGAGAAGGAAAUUUGCCACAAGGGGCGAAAGCCUAAGGGAGCAACGCGGGGUGAGUGAUAAGGGUUUCUGGAUCUAAAAAUCUUGUUUUUGGGCAAGAACAUAGGUUAAAGUAUGGUGGCACUUCAGGAGGGUACCUAAACAAAAAGCGGCGGAUAACUGCGG
This 496-nucleotide ribosomal RNA is filed under the name uncultured bacterium. RNAcentral describes it as "partial 16S ribosomal RNA". It matches the Rfam family "Bacterial small subunit ribosomal RNA", at positions 28 to 506 of the family's 1533-position model. The record is from RNAcentral.